GAUCAGGCGGUCCCCAGA
This 18-nucleotide ribosomal RNA is filed under the name Scolecobasidium musae. RNAcentral describes it as "Ochroconis musae partial 28S ribosomal RNA". The record is from RNAcentral. Lineage: Eukaryota; Fungi; Ascomycota; Dothideomycetes; Venturiales; Sympoventuriaceae.